Molecule: ribosomal RNA, 424 nt
Filed under: uncultured bacterium
Lineage: Bacteria
Description: bacterial SSU rRNA
Rfam family: Bacterial small subunit ribosomal RNA
Source: RNAcentral
AAUCUACCUAGUAGAAGGGGAUAGCCCGGGGAAACUCGGAUUAAUACCGUAUACCUCCUUAGGGAGAAAGAGGGCUUAGCUUUGAUGCUCUCGCUAUUAGAUGAGCCUGCGUAAGAUUAGCUUGUUGGUGAGGUAAUGGCUCACCAAGGCAACGAUCUUUAGCUGGUCUGAGAGGACGAUCAGCCACAUUGGGACUGAGACACGGCCCAGACUCCAACGGGAGGCAGCAGUGGGGAAUAUUGGACAAUGGGCGCAAGCCUGAUCCAGCCAUACCGCGUGUGUGAAGAAGGCUUUCGGGUUGUAAAGCACUUUAAGUAAGGAGGAAAAGAUUGUAGUUAAUACCUGCAAUCCGUGACGUUACUUACAGAAUAAGGACCGGCUAAUUCCGUGCCAGCAGCCGCGGUAAUACGGAAGGUCCAAGCGU